UGGGGAAUAUUGCACAAUGGGCGAAAGCCUGAUGCAGCGACGCCGCGUGCGGGAUGAAGGCCUUCGGGUUGUAAACCGCUUUUAAUUGGGAGCAAGCGAGAGUGAGUGUACCUUUUGAAUAAGCACCGGCUAACUACGUGCCAGCAGCCGCGGUAAUACGUAGGGUGCAAGCGUUAUCCGGAAUUAUUGGGCGUAAAGAGCUCGUAGGCGGUUUGUCACGCCUGGUGUGAAAGUCCAUCGCUUAACGGUGGAUCUGCGCCGGGUACGGGCAGGCUAGAGUGCAGUAGGGGAGAUUGGAAUUCCCGGUGUAACGGUGGAAUGUGUAGAUAUCGGGAAGAACACCAAUGGCGAAGGCAGAUCUCUGGGCUGUUACUGACGCUGAGGAGCGAAAG
RNAcentral lists this ribosomal RNA (392 nucleotides) under uncultured bacterium. RNAcentral describes it as "partial 16S ribosomal RNA". It matches the Rfam family "Bacterial small subunit ribosomal RNA", at positions 355 to 759 of the family's 1533-position model. The record is from RNAcentral.